CCUACGGGAGGCAGCAGUGGGGAAUAUUGGACAAUGGGCGCAAGCCUGAUCCAGCAAUGCCGCGUGAGUGAUGAAGGCCUUAGGGUCGUAAAGCUCUUUUACCAGGGAUGAUAAUGACAGUACCUGGAGAAUAAGCUCCGGCUAACUCCGUGCCAGCAGCCGCGGUAAUACGGAGGGAGCUAGCGUUGUUCGGAAUUACUGGGCGUAAAGCGUACGUAGGCGGUUAUUCAAGUCAGAGGUGAAAGCCCGGGGCUCAACCCCGGAACGGCCUUUGAAACUAGGUAGCUAGAAUCUUGGAGAGGUCAGUGGAAUUCCGAGUGUAGAGGUGAAAUUCGUAGAUAUUCGGAAGAACACCAGUGGCGAAGGCGACUGACUGGACAAGUAUUGACGCUGAGGUACGAAAGCGUGGGGAGCAAACAGGAUUAGAUACCCUGGUAGUCCACGCCGUAAACGAUGAUAACUAGCUGUUCGGGCACUUGGUGCUUGAGUGGCGCAGCUAACGCAUUAAGUUAUCCGCCUGGGGAGUACGGUCGCAAGAUUAAAACUCAAAGGAAUUGACGGCUGAGAGNGCGAGCGACACGAGGAGAG
This 588-nucleotide ribosomal RNA is filed under the name uncultured bacterium. RNAcentral describes it as "bacterial SSU rRNA". It matches the Rfam family "Bacterial small subunit ribosomal RNA", at positions 338 to 943 of the family's 1533-position model. The record is from RNAcentral.